Molecule: ribosomal RNA, 459 nt
Filed under: uncultured bacterium
Lineage: Bacteria
Description: partial 16S ribosomal RNA
Rfam family: Bacterial small subunit ribosomal RNA
Source: RNAcentral
CCUACGGGUGGCAGCAGUGAGGAAUAUUGGUCAAUGGUCGGGAGACUGAACCAGCCAAGCCGCGUGAGGGAUGAAGGUACAGAGUAUCGUAAACCUCUUUUGUCAGGGAACAAAGGCGGGGACGUGUCCCCGGAUGAGUGUACCUGAAGAAAAAGCAUCGGCUAACUCCGUGCCAGCAGCCGCGGUAAUACGGAGGAUGCGAGCGUUAUCCGGAUUUAUUGGGUUUAAAGGGUGCGCAGGCGGUCUGUUAAGUCAGCGGUCAAAGCCCGGGGCUCAACCCCGGCCAGCCGUUGAAACUGGCAGGCUCGAGUUGGAGAGAAGUAUGCGGAAUGCGCGGGGGAGCGGUGAAAUGCAUAGAUAUCGCGCAGAACUCCGAUUGCGAAGGCAGCGUGCCGGCUCCACACUGACGCUGAGGCACGAAAGCGUGGGUAUCGAACAGGAUUAGAUACCCUAGUAGUC